AGAACGACUCUCGGCAACGGAUAUCUCGGCUCUCGCAUCGAUGAAGAACGUAGCGAAAUGCGAUACUUGGUGUGAAUUGCAGAAUCCCGUGAACCAUCGAGUCUUUGAACGCAAGUUGCGCCCGAAGCCUUCUGGCCGAGGGCACGUCUGUCUGGGCGUCACGC
RNAcentral lists this ribosomal RNA (164 nucleotides) under Rheum officinale. RNAcentral describes it as "5.8S ribosomal RNA". It matches the Rfam family "5.8S ribosomal RNA". From Rfam's summary of the family: 5.8S ribosomal RNA (5.8S rRNA) is a component of the large subunit of the eukaryotic ribosome. It is transcribed by RNA polymerase I as part of the 45S precursor that also contains 18S and 28S rRNA. The record is from RNAcentral. RNAcentral also lists the same sequence under 4 other names. Lineage: Eukaryota; Viridiplantae; Streptophyta; Magnoliopsida; Caryophyllales; Polygonaceae.